Molecule: ribosomal RNA, 500 nt
Filed under: uncultured bacterium
Lineage: Bacteria
Description: partial 16S ribosomal RNA
Rfam family: Bacterial small subunit ribosomal RNA
Source: RNAcentral
GACGAACGCUGGCGGCGUGCUUAACACAUGCAAGUCGAACGGGUCUGCCCUGUUUUUUGCGGGGUGGGUCAGUGGCGAACGGGAGAGUAACACGUGAGUAACCUGCCCCUCACGUCUGGAUAACCGCUUGAAAGGGUGGCUAAUACGGGGUGUUCUGGCUGUGCCGCAUGGUGUGGCUGGGAAAGAUGCACUUGUGUGGGGUUGUGGCGGGUGAUGGGCUCGCGGCCUAUCAGCUUGUUGGAGGGGUGGUGGCCUGCCAGGGCUUUGACGGGUAGCCGGCCUGCGAGGGUGGGCGGUCGCACGGGGACUGAGGGACGGCCCAGCCUCCUGCGGGCGGCAGCAGUGGGGGGUAUUGCACAAUGGGCGGAAGCCUGAUGCCGCGACGUCGCGUGAGGGCUGGAGGCCUUCGGGUUGUGAACCUCUUUCGCCGGUGCAGAAGGUCCUGCUCUUUGUGGUGGGGUUGGCGGUUGCCGGGUGAUGAAGCGCCGGCUAACUACGUG